Non-coding RNA from Desmophyllum pertusum, 68 nucleotides. NCBI's taxonomy places the organism in Eukaryota, Metazoa, Cnidaria, Anthozoa, Scleractinia, Caryophylliidae. The record is from the annotation of a GenBank genome assembly.
UUGUAGCUCAAUGGUAGAGCUUCCGACUACUGUGCGAAAGGUUACAGGUUCGACUCCUCUUGGUAAAA